GCUUUCCCUCCAGAGUGGAUCCUGAGUACGGCGGAACACGUGAAAUUCCGUCGGAAUCCGGGAGGACCAUCUCCCAAGGCUAAAUACUCCCUAGUGACCGAUAGUGAACCAGUACCGUGAGGGAAAGGUGAAAAGCACCCCGGAAGGGGAGUGAAACAGUUCCUGAAACCGUGUGCCUACAAGUAGUUAGAGCCCGUUAAUGGGUGAUAGCGUGCCUUUUGUAGAAUGAACCGGCGAGUUACGAUUUGUUGCAAGGUUAAGCGGAAAAAGCGGAGCCGUAGCGAAAGCGAGUCUGAAUAGGGCGCAUAAGUAACAGGUCGUAGACCCGAAACCAGGUGAUCUACCCAUGUCCAGGAUGAAGGUAAGGUAAUACUUACUGGAGGUCCGAACCCACGCACGUUGAAAAGUGCGGGGAUGAGGUGUGGGUAGCGGAGAAAUUCCAAUCGAACUUGGAGAUAGCUGGUUCUCUCCGAAAUAGCUUUAGGGCUAGCCUCGAGGUAAAGAGUCAUGGAGGUAGAGCACUGUUUGGACUAGGGGCCCUUCUCGGGUUACCGAAUUCAGAUAAACUCCGAAUGCCAUGUACUUAUAUUCGGGAGUCAGACUGCGAGUGAUAAGAUCCGUAGUCGAAAGGGAAACAGCCCAGACCACCAGUUAAGGUCCCCAAAUAUAUGUUAAGUGGAAAAGGAUGUGGGGUUGCUUAGACAACCAGGAUGUUGGCUUAGAAGCAGCCACCAUUGAAAGAGUGCGUAAUAGCUCACUGGUCGAGUGACCCCGCGCCGAAAAUGUACCGGGGCUAAACAUAUUACCGAAACUGUGGAUGAACCUCUUUAGAGGUUCGUGGUAGGAGAGCGUUCUAAAGGCGGUGAAGUCAGACCGGAAGGACUGGUGGAGCGCUUAGAAGUGAGAAUGCCGGUAUGAGUAGCGAAAGAAGGGUGAGAAUCCCUUCCACCGAAUAUCUAAGGUUUCCUGAGGAAGGCUCGUCCGCUCAGGGUUAGUCGGGACCUAAGCCGAGGCCGAUAGGCGUAGGCGAUGGACAACAGGUAGAGAUUCCUGUACCAGUGCUAAUUGUUUAACCGAUGGGGUGACACAGAAGGAUAGGGAAUCGCACGAAUGGAAAUGUGCGUCCAAGCAGUGAGUGUGAGAAGUAGGCAAAUCCGCUUCUCGCAAAGCAUGAGCUGUGAUGGGGAAGGAAAUUAAGUACGGAAGUUCCUGAUUUCACGCUGUCAAGAAAAGCCUCUAGGAAGAGUAGUACUGCCCGUACCGCAAACCGACACAGGUAGAUGAGGAGAGAAUCCUAAGGUGAGCGAGAGAACUCUCGUUAAGGAACUCGGCAAAAUGACCCCGUAACUUCGGGAGAAGGGGUGCUCUAUUAGGGUGCAAGCCCGAGAGAGCCGCAGUGAAUAGGCCCAGGCGACUGUUUAGCAAAAACACAGGUCUCUGCAAAACCGUAAGGUGACGUAUAGGGGCUGACGCCUGCCCGGUGCUGGAAGGUUAAGAGGAGUGCUUAGCUUCGGCGAAGGUACGAAUUGAAGCCCCAGUAAACGGCGGCCGUAACUAUAACGGUCCUAAGGUAGCGAAAUUCCUUGUCGGGUAAGUUCCGACCCGCACGAAAGGCGCAACGAUCUGGGCACUGUCUCAACGAGAGACUCGGUGAAAUUAUAGUACCUGUGAAGAUGCAGGUUACCCGCGACAGGACGGAAAGACCCCGUGGAGCUUUACUGCAACCUGAUAUGGAAUGUUUGUACCGCUUGUACAGGAUAGGUAGGAGCCGAAGAGACGUGUGCGCUAGCAUACGAGGAGGCAAUGGUGGGAUACUACCCUGGCUGUAUGACCAUUCUAACCCGCCACGCUUAGCGCGUGGGGAGACAGUGUCAGGUGGGCAGUUUGACUGGGGCGGUCGCCUCCUAAAGAGUAACGGAGGCGCCCAAAGGUUCCCUCAGAAUGGAUGGAAAUCAUUCGCAGAGUGUAAAGGCACAAGGGAGCUUGANGGAGGCGCCCAAAGGUUCCCUCAGAAUGGAUGGAAAUCAUUCGCAGAGUGUAAAGGCACAAGGGAGCUUGACUGCGAGACUGACAAGUCGAGCAGGGACGAAAGUCGGGCUUAGUGAUCCGGUGGUUCCGCAUGGAAGGGCCAUCGCUCAACGGAUAAAAGCUACCCCGGGGAUAACAGGCUUAUCUCCCCCAAGAGUCCACAUCGACGGGGAGGUUUGGCACCUCGAUGUCGGCUCGUCGCAUCCUGGGGCUGUAGUCGGUCCCAAGGGUUGGGCUGUUCGCCCAUUAAAGCGGCACGCGAGCUGGGUUCAGAACGUCGUGAGACAGUUCGGUCCCUAUCCGUCGCGGGCGCAGGAAAUUUGAGAGGAGCUGUCCUUAGUACGAGAGGACCGGGAUGGACACACCGCUGGUGUACCAGUUGUUCCGCCAGGAGCAUCGCUGGGUAGCUAUGUGUGGCAGGGAUAAACGCUGAAAGCAUCUAAGCGUGAAGCCCCCCUCAAGAUGAGAUUUCCCAUUUCUUCGGAAAGUAAGAUCCCUGAAAGAUGAUCAGGUAGAUAGGUUUGGAGUGGAAGUGUAGCGAUACAUGGAGCGGACAAAUACUAAUCGAUCGAGGACUUAACCAAAA
RNAcentral lists this ribosomal RNA (2614 nucleotides) under Listeria monocytogenes. RNAcentral's name for it is "bacterial LSU rRNA". It matches the Rfam family "Bacterial large subunit ribosomal RNA", at positions 387 to 2925 of the family's 2925-position model. Lineage: Bacteria; Bacillati; Bacillota; Bacilli; Caryophanales; Listeriaceae. The record is from RNAcentral.